Molecule: non-coding RNA, 149 nt
Filed under: Platyophrya macrostoma
Lineage: Eukaryota; Ciliophora; Colpodea; Cyrtolophosidida; Platyophryidae
Source: RNAcentral
AAAACAAGCCACUCAAAUACAAACGCAAGACGAAUGAUACGGAGUCGCAGGAAAACACAAUUCAGUCGAGAAUUAAAAAAAAAAAAAAAAAACAUAUACAGCAGUACAGUCUGUCGUUUGCCUCCACUUUCGAUUAUUGUUGUUUCUUU